This 253-nucleotide ribosomal RNA is filed under the name uncultured bacterium. RNAcentral's name for it is "partial 16S ribosomal RNA". It matches the Rfam family "Bacterial small subunit ribosomal RNA", at positions 524 to 776 of the family's 1533-position model. The record is from RNAcentral. RNAcentral also lists the same sequence under 2 other names.
UACGUAGGGUGCAAGCGUUGUCCGGAAUUAUUGGGCGUAAAGAGCUCGUAGGCGGUCUGUCACGUCGGAUGUGAAAACUCGGGGCUCAACCCCGAGCCUGCAUACGAUACGGGCAGACUUGAGUGUGGCAGGGGAGUCUGGAAUUCCUGGUGUAGCGGUGAAAUGCGCAGAUAUCAGGAGGAACACCGGUGGCGAAGGCGGGACUCUGGGCCAAUACUGACGCUGAGGAGCGAAAGCGUGGGGAGCGAACAGG